Molecule: unclassified non-coding RNA, 223 nt
Filed under: plant metagenome
Description: partial contains small subunit ribosomal RNA, internal transcribed spacer 1, and 5.8S ribosomal RNA
Source: RNAcentral
UUUCCGUAGGUGAACCUGCGGAAGGAUCAUUAAAGAGAAUAUGCCCUUCGGGGUAGAUCUCCCACCCUUUGUUUAUAUUACCUUUGUUGCUUUGGCAGGCCCGUCUUCGGACCACCGGCUUCGGCUGGUCAGUGCUUGCCAGAGGACCCAAAACUCUUAUUAUUAAUGUCGUCUGAGUACUAUAUAAUAGUUAAGACUUUCAACAACGGAUCUCUUGGUUCUG